AGCCCAUUAGCUCAGUUGGUUGGAGCAUCGCACUGAUAUGAAAUGCGAAGGACGAGGGUUCGAUCCCCUCAUGGGCUA
Cyphomyrmex costatus is the source of this 78-nucleotide non-coding RNA. Lineage: Eukaryota; Metazoa; Arthropoda; Insecta; Hymenoptera; Formicidae. The record is from Rfam.